ACCCUCUCAGAGUCGCACCUGGAGAGUUUCCAGUACACUACCAGUCUCAAAUGCAGGAGGGAGAAUCAAGCGGAGGCAUAUCCAUUCCAUUCCUAGCUUGGCUAGUGGCUAGCAAGUGGAAGGCAAUCUGCUACAAGA
This is a small nucleolar RNA of Tachyglossus aculeatus (Australian echidna), 138 nucleotides long. NCBI's taxonomy places the organism in Eukaryota, Metazoa, Chordata, Mammalia, Monotremata, Tachyglossidae. The record is from RefSeq and is a predicted model, not a curated record.